Solenopsis invicta (red fire ant) is the source of this 813-nucleotide RNA transcript. It is a transcript of the gene named proteasome subunit beta type-4-like, with no coding region annotated. The transcript has 3 exons. NCBI's taxonomy places the organism in Eukaryota, Metazoa, Arthropoda, Insecta, Hymenoptera, Formicidae. The record is from RefSeq and is a predicted model, not a curated record.
AAUGACAAAUUUAUAAAGCUCAAUUAGACCAAAGCCAAUCCAAUAGAAAAAGAUGUGUUAUUUAUUAAUUAAAACUAACUUUUUCUUUUUUGCAGAAGUAGAGAGCACACAAGGAUGAGACAUUGGAAGCCUUUGCAAGAAGGUGAUAUAUUCAAUGUUGAUAUAACAGUUUAUCUUAAUGGCUAUCUCGGCGAUUGCUCAAGUUGGUGAGGAAGCUAUUCAACUUCUGUAUAAAGUAAUGCAAGUUCUUUUUUACAGAGACGCAAGAUCUUUCCCAAAGUAUCAUCUUGCCAUUAUCACGAAAGAAAAAGAAGUUGAAAAACAAGGGCCGCUAACUUUGGAGAGCUAUUAGGGACCUGCAAUUCUAUAAAAUUUUUGUUUUCUUAUUUAAAAUAAACUUAAUAAAAAAUCUAGAGUAAAGAUCCAUUUCUUUAAUUGAAUAAAUUGAAAGAAGUUUUCAAUUAUAUAUUUAUUUGCAUUACAUGUACAAAAGACUAAGAAAAUAUUGAUUCUGGUAACCGUAUUGAUAAUCUUCAUUCUAACAGACAUAAAUUUUACCUAACUUUUAUUUUUACAUAUAAAAACACAAGAUAGUACUUGCAAGAUUAAAACGCAUAUGUGCAAAUUAAUUUAUGUAUGCUAAAAAUAAUAUAUUUCAUAGGUACUUUUUAUAUAAAAUAGCAAUAAUAUUGAUUGUACAUUAAAGUGUUAGCACUUUGCAUCCAGUAUCUGUUAUUAAAAUUGUAUGUUCAACUUGAGCUGUCCUAAAAUUAUCAAUAGUACAAGUUGUCUAUCCAUCUUCCAGAAUUUCAA